GAUGAAGAACGCAGCGAAAUGCGAUAAGUAAUGUGAAUUGCAGAAUUCAGUGAAUCAUCGAAUCUUUGAACGCACAUUGCGCCCUCUGGUAUUCCGGGGGGCAUGCCUGUUCGAGCGUCAUUAUAACCACUCAAGCUCUCGCUUGGUAUUGGGGUUCGCGGUUCCGCGGCCCCUAAAAUCAGUGGCGGUGCCUGUCGGCUCUACGCGUAGUAAUUCUUCUCGCUAUGGAGUCCUGGUGGAUGCUUGCCAUCAACCCCCAAUUUUUCUAUGGUUGACCUCGGAUCAGGUAGGGAUACCCGCUGAACUUAAGCAUAUCAAUAAGCGGAGGA
RNAcentral lists this unclassified non-coding RNA (329 nucleotides) under soil metagenome. RNAcentral's name for it is "partial contains 5.8S ribosomal RNA, internal transcribed spacer 2, and large subunit ribosomal RNA". The stretch from base 1 to 120 matches the Rfam family "5.8S ribosomal RNA", at positions 35 to 154 of the family's 154-position model. The record is from RNAcentral.